CAGUCGCCGCGGGAAUACGUAGGGUGCGAGCGUUAAUCGGAAUUACUGGGCGUAAAGCGUGCGCAGGCGGUUUUGUAAGACAGGCGUGAAAUCCCCGGGCUCAACCUGGGAAUGGCGCUUGUGACUGCAAAGCUAGAGUGCGGCAGAGGGGGAUGGAAUUCCGCGUGUAGCAGUGAAAUGCGUAGAUAUGCGGAGGAACACCGAUGGCGAAGGCAAUCCCCUGGGCCUGCACUGACGCUCAUGCACGAAAGCGUGGGGAGCAAACAGGAUUAGAUACCCCCGUAGUCCCUGUCUCUUAUAA
RNAcentral lists this ribosomal RNA (301 nucleotides) under uncultured bacterium. RNAcentral's name for it is "partial 16S ribosomal RNA". It matches the Rfam family "Bacterial small subunit ribosomal RNA", at positions 509 to 809 of the family's 1533-position model. The record is from RNAcentral.